RNAcentral lists this long non-coding RNA (44257 nucleotides) under Gossypium barbadense (sea-island cotton). RNAcentral's name for it is "long non-coding RNA (GBAR_LNC008808)". Lineage: Eukaryota; Viridiplantae; Streptophyta; Magnoliopsida; Malvales; Malvaceae. The record is from RNAcentral.
ACGAACGAAUACACAAUAGGCAAUACAAAAAAAGCAAUAUUGGAAGGUGAUUUCUCCGAUCGAAAUCUCUGGGCUUUCUCUUUGUGAUUAUUUUCUUUUUUUUUUAUUUCGAGAGUAAAUAAAAGAAAAGGGGAACACGAACACAGACGCACACAGAAUAUACACGCACAGAAAUAUAAAAAAAAACAAUUAAGAAUUUGCAAGGGUAAUCUCAAGUUUUCUUUCGUUCUUUCUUUUUUUUUUCUUUUUUGUUUGGUUUAGAUCGUCUUUUAGUAGGUAAAUCGACUCCAAUGAGAUCCCGAAUACUUUAAGAUACAAAAGUAGGGGAGAGGAGUCAAGUGGUGUUGAAUCUCUAUUUUAUGAACUUUCUUCGUUUUUUUUUAAAAUGUAUGAGAUUUGAAGUUUUAUUUUUUCUCAAGUAAAAAAGAAAAUACUUACUAAUUUCCUCAAGGCAUGGUCGAAUACUUACGGCCACAGAACCAGGAAUUGUUUUGCGCGCUGCUGGACACCAAAUCCGAUGGAGAUUCAGCUGCUUGUAAAAGGAACCCUAGCAAAUUUAUUUUCAAGGCUGCUGGUUUUUGUUAAAAUGGAUGGGUAUUUGAAAGGAAAGGAAGGGAAAAAUGGUUUAAAAUGGUCUGAAAUACAAAACAGUGCUGCCCAUGACCAUAAGGGUCCGCGCGUAGGCCCGAAUAGAAAAAUGGAUCUGCGCCAUGUUGUGUGAAUGGGGAAAUUGCGCGCUGAAUCCUUCCCUUGCGCACAACCUUCAAUUUGCGCCCCAAUUUCCCCCCCAACCAAUAAACGACGCCGUUUCAAGGGUGGGUCGGGUCGACCCGACCCGCCCCAGCAAGGAUCCGCGUGUUUUUAAGAGCGGAAGGGCUAUUUGCGCAAUCAGCCCUUCCGCAUUUUUGGUGUUUUAAAUUAGGUUUAUGUUUGUUUCUGAAUUGACCCCAGAAUUUUGCUCAGUUUUUAAUUUAACCCCCGUAUAUGCGCAGCGUUUUGGAAAGUUUGAAAAUUUGCACUUUUAAUACCCCAUGGUUUUACCCGCAUUCAAAUAGGUCCUUUCCCCUUUAAUUUUUUUAAAUUCGCCCCAAAGCUUUGUUUUUAGUUCAUUUUUGGUCCUUUUUGUUUCCUUAUUUAAUAUGAUUAUUGUUAUUUCCAAUAUUAUAGUAUUAUUAUUAUUACUAUAUAUUAGUAUACAUUUUUCUUUUACAUGUGAAUAUUGUAUAUAUUUAUAUAUAAUAUUAUUUUUAAUUAUUGUAUUUUAAUAUUAUUAUUAUAUUAUAUAUACUUCUUCGUAUUUUAUUAUUAUUAUUAGUAUUAUUAUCUUUAUUCAUAUUAGCAGACAUAUGUUAUUAUAUAUAUACACAUUUCAUAUAGUAUUAUCUUUUUUUUACUAUUAUAUUUAUUAUUAUAUUCAUUGUUAAUACAUCUAUUUUUUAUACAUGUAUAUAUACCCUUUUUGUAAUAUUAUUUUUUACACCUAUAUGUAUAUAUUUUAUUUUAUUGUUGCUAGUUAUGUACUUUUUUACUAUCUUAUACGUACUUCAAACACUAUACGUAUAGUAUAUUUCUAACACUACUACUAUUUAUAUAAAUAUUUUACGUAUAUACUCUUAAUUAUCUUCAUAUGUGUAUUCAUUGUAUUCUUAUUACGUUCUCGUAUUCAAUGCUAACAUUGCAUUUGAUCUUGCAUGCACGGUUAUUAUUUUCUAAUAUUAUUGUCACCUCGAUUAUUUGUUUCAACAUAUUCCUAGCUCUUUCAUUUAUUGAUUUUUAUUUCAUAUUAUUUUACUUUGCAUUAUUUCGAAAAUCGUAUUCUUGUUUUGCUAAUUAAUUUCAAUAAUCAAGGCAAUAUAUCGAUUUAACAUUAAGUCAUCAAGUUCAUCACUAUGUUGGGUGAACGUCAAUUGACUCGUGUUAAAGCGAUAUACCCUUCUAAAAGAAAAAACGGAAUAAACUAAGUUUCUUGUUUUUUAAUCAGAUCACGACUAAAUUUUACAUUGAACCGUAUUUUUGAAAAUUAAGACAACAUGUGUUUAUGAGAUACCAAUUUUUGGGCGUCACGAGGGUGCUAAUACCUUCCUUGCGCGUAACCGACUCCCGAACCCUAAUUUUCCUCUGGCUUUUAACGUAGACCUAAAUUCAGCCUUCCUUUUGUUUUUUUUAAAAAAGAAGUCUAACAGGUGUCCGGUCACACCUAAUAAAAAGGAUCGGUGGUGAUUCCCUCUUUAUUUUGAAAUCGAAUUUCAGUUUCCAAACUUUUUCACUAGAUCGCCACAAUUAGCGACCCCGGAACCAAUUUUUAUGUCGCUACAGCUGGCGACUCCACUGGGGACUUUUGAGAGUUGAGUCUGAUGUUAAACGCGUAUUGUCAAAUUUUUAAAAUCCUUUGUUCAAAUUAAUUUUUAAUCGUGAUCCUUGAAUUUUUUUUUUUGAAAAGUCAUGCAUUUGCAUUUGGUUUUUUUUAAUUAAUAGUUUUCUAACUUAUUUUGUCUUUCUGUUUUUUUUAGCUUUAAGUUUUACAUUUUUUUAGUUGUUUUAGUAAAAAUAAAAUUUAAAAAGGUUUGUGAGUUUCUCCCUACACACCGUGCACUUGCAUUCUUGCAUAACAUGAGCUCUCUACCCGGGCUCCAUCCGUUUAAGUGGAAGUAAACGCUACGCCUUCGUGAGUUAACUCGUCCCUCCGCACAGGCUAGUGAAAUACUUUCGGGUUACAUAUGACUUAUGUUUUCGUGAGUUAACUCGUCCCUCCGCAUAGGCAUAAGUAAAUGUAAUCCCUCGAAUUGAUCUCGUAAGCCUAUGAUGGGCCAUGACCGAGGCUCUGUACUAAUCUUGGUAGAUGACAGUGCAGACGAUUCGAGUACCCAUCUAGAACCAAAACCGCAUAUAGUGAACCAUGUGAGCCAUCCAAAUAGAGCCAUGCUGAACCUCUGUCCGCUUAUAGUCAUCAAAAUAAGUACACGGGGAAAAUACCUUUUGCCAUCCAGUUACACUGUUUGUGCAAAAUAAUUGGAUUGGGUAGUUUAAUUUGUUUUUCAAAUUAUAUUUGUUGUGUUUACUAACCAAGUUUGUUUGUUUUCACUUUUAUUUUCAUCAUGCAUCAUAGGCAUCAUAUUAAGAAGGUGUUGACUAAAGGUUGGUUGCCAAAAAAUGGGUUUCUGAUGGAGGAGUCAAUUACACAAAUAACCGAGAAGAGUGCCGUGGUUCGGGACUGGUCUCUAAAAAUUCAGAAAGAAAAGGGGGAUAGUCUAGUGGAAGGGUGUGUCGCCAAUUUGCCCGAACAUAUAACUGUAAAUGUUCGCCAAAAUAACCUUGAGGAUUUGGUUCGAAUUUGGAAUCAGUACACUAGAGACAUUUUCACUGAGAGGUAUGGAGAUAUAGCUCACCUGAUCACCAUCCGUGUAGACGAACAGUUGAUUCAAGCCAUGGUUCGGUUCUGGGACCCAGCUUAUCAGUGUUUCACCUUCAAUCAAGAAGACAUGACUCCAACCAUAGAAGAGUAUGCUGCUUUACUCCGCAUCGACAAUGUACAAUUCGGCAAAAUAUAUGUGAAGGAGCCUAAGCCGAUGACCUUCAAGAAAAAGUUAGUGAGACUAACAGACAUGACUGAUGCAUGGGCCGAAAAACAGAUAAAGAAGAAGAAUGAAACCAUUUGCAUUCCAUGGUCCUCCCUACGAGAUUUGGCUCUAAACUAUCCCAACAUGCUGAAAAGGGUAAAUCUAUUCGCUUUGGCCUUUUACGGUUUGGUCAUUUUCCCAAAAGUUCUCAGACAUCUCGAAGUUGCAGUAGUUGAUUUCUUCGAAAGGUUAAAACAAGGAAUCAACCCUGUUCCGACCAUCCUAGCCGAGAUCUUCAGGUCCCUGAGUAGUUGUCGAAGAAAAGGGGAGGGACGAUUUAUCGGAUGCGCGCAGUUGCUCAAUGUUUGGAUUUUGAGUCACUUCUGGAAGGUAGAGCGCACUCCGUUCCAUAUGUUUUCUAAAACAUUGUCCCCUCUAGAAGCUUACCUCAAGAAAGAAUGGCCGAAGGAAGUCACCAAGCAACAUUGGGUAUCAGUUUUUCAGAAUCUUCGCGCCGAGAAUAUAACAUAGAGAGCACCCUGGAUCCGUCCUUCAGUUCUGCUAUACAAAUGUGGAAGCCAAGAUUGGGUACCUUUACUCGGGUUAUGGGGAGGAGUUGGAUAUGCCCCGCUAUUAGUCCAAAGGCAGUUUUCUUCGCGACAAUUCCUCCCCGCAACUGGAGGAUUAGCACAGUUCGAGUUCACUUUCGCGGGUGAAGGAUAUAUGAAGAGAGUCCGAGUCACUGCAAAGUAUUGGAAGGAAAUUCAUUUCAUGGAAUUAGCUUUGUAUGCUGAUACCCUUACCCAAGAUUAUGACAUAUGGAGGAAGCAACGGGUAAAUAGUCAGCAAAUCUCAUCAACAAACUACACCAUCCAAAAUCCUUUCUCGGAGGAAACGCCGUCUGAGCUAGAAAUGACAAGACAAGAAUUCGAACGAGAAAAGGCCAAGAUGUCUCGGGACCUUAAUGCCCUUCAAGAAGAAAACUAUCAACUGAAGAUUGAAGUUCAGGUUGAAAGGUCCAGGACUGAAAAAGUACAAAGAGAAGCCGAGAUUGUGAGAAACGACUUAAGGGACCUUCAUUUGGAAAACAAGAAAUUAAGAAACACUAUAAAGAAUAGCGGGUUAGGCAAGUCGAUAGCAGAAUGGAAGGAAGAAAUUAGCAAUAUUAAGGGAGGAAUGGAGUUUUGGAAGGGAAAAGCAAAGAAAGAGGAGGAAAAGGCUGCGCGUGCUAUGAUAGAGUUAAGAAGGAAGAACGCCGAGUAUGAAAUAGUGGCUGCAAAAUUGGCGAAUAGUCAGUCUGAACAUCAAGAAUUAAAAAGGAAAACACGAGAUCUAGAAAAUAUGCUGCAAUCUCGUCAACAACAAUUAGAUAACCUCUUGAAGGCUCUAGAAGAAAAGAGUGAGCAGUACGAUAAGGACAUUCACGCGUAUGAAGGAACCCUCAAAGAAAAAGAAAUGCAACUUGACUUCUUGAUCAAUGAAAUUCGUAAAGCGGCUAUGCAAGUUGUUCAAUUAUCAGAUAAAGCCAAAGUUCUCAGUUGCCAAUUCCCCCCGAGCCAAAGAUCGAGCAUAUCAGAGUUUUUAGAGCAAGUGAAGAAACAAGGCAAUGUGGCUAGGAAAUUUGUGUAACUGUUGGAAAAAUGAGAACUUUGUGUAAUAGACUAUGUUGAUAAAUGAAAUACCUAAAUAUGGGGCUAUCUUGAAAUCAACACCAAUUUCUUGCAUUUCAUUCAUAAUUGACACUCAUUUGACAUUCAUGCAUUCAUUCAUGCAUCAGUUCAUUCAUUGCAUAUCCCAUACUCGUUCGCUGAGGUUAAAACGUACAAUUUGCAGUUGCCAGACUUCAAGACUGGAACCACGUCAUCCGUAUAAAACGCGCCGACAAGCUAGAGUAAUGGAAGCUGAAUUCAAUGAGAGAAUUGAAAGGAUGGAAAAGCUCAAAAGGAAUUACAAGAGCAACUGGCCAAAUCGCAACAAGAGACGAGAGACCUAAUGGUGAUAUCUCGAGAGGAAUCAUUCGAGCAAAGAGAUCAGAUGGCUAAAAUGAUGGAGAUGAUGACAACUUUGGUCAAAGGAAAAUGGCCCAUGCAGAACCCUGAUGUUAUGGAACCUCGGUCAAAAAUUCACCAUGAUCAGGAUCCACUCUAUCCCCCAAGAUUCACUCCACCGCCCGCAUAUACAAUACAAAGAGGGUAUACUCAAGAGGAACCCACUGGCUUGGAGCAUCGACCCAUGCCACCUGCUCCACCCACUAAUUUGGGGCAAGGAAUGUUAGCGUCGAACCCAGGGGCUAGUUUUGCUAAUCCACUAGUUCCAGAUCUAGAUGACCCAGCAGAGGUAGCCAAGUUGAAAUUGGAUAACCAUGACGCAAAAUAUAGGAGUCUAGAGGAAAGACUCAAAGUAAUAGAAGGCACUGAAGUCUUCUCCGCACUAGGUGCCAAGGAACUCAGUUUGGUACCUGAUCUAAUUUUGCCCCCGAAGUUCAAAGUGCCUGAUUUUGAGAAGUAUGAUGGAACAAGGUGCCCAAAAGCACAUCUCAUUAUGUUCUGUCGAAAAAUGACCGGUUAUGUGAAUGAGGAUAAACUACUCAUACAUUGCUUUCAAGAUAGUCUAACAGGGUCAGCUCUUCGGUGGUACAAUAAACUUAGUAGAGAAAAGAUUCGAUCCUGGAAGGACUUGGCGUUAGCAUUUUGCGAACAGUACAAGCAUGUAUCGGAUAUGGUGCCAGACCGUAUGACCUUGCAAAUGAUGGAGAAAAAGCCAUCAGAGACCUUUAGACAGUAUGCGCAGAGAUGGAGAGACGUCUCAGCUCAAGUGGAACCCCCACUAACAAAAACAAAGAUAACCGUUCUUUUUAUCAAUACUUUAAAGGCACCGUUUUAUGACAAACUAGUGGGAAGUGCCACGAAAGAUUUCGCGGAUAUUGUAAUAUCCGGUGAACUCAUAGAGAAUGCCGUCAAGAGCGGUAGAAUGGAAGGAUCAGAAGGCUCAAGAAAAGCAGCACCCUUAAGGAAGAAAGAGCCAGAAGCCCACAUGGUGGGAACUGGGAGUCGUUACAUUCCCAAUUCGUAUCGUAACCAACCCCGACCUCGAAAUUAUCCACCCCCGAAUUCCUAUUAUCCCCUACAAACCCCUUACUACCAAGCACCACAUCCGUCCUGCCCCGUAUACGCCACGAACAACCAAAGACCCGUCACUACUUUCCCACAAAACACGGUACCCGCCCAAAGCCAAUCAAGGCAUAAUCCCGAGAGACCGCAAUUUACCUCCAUCCCUGUGUCGUAUGGGGAAUUGUACCCAAAACUUUUAGAAAAACAGCUAAUUUCUCCCCAUUACAUGGCACCCCUUAAACCUCCAUACCCAAAGUGGUACGAUCCAAACGCUAGUUGUGCAUACCACGCAGGGAAUCAAGGGCACUCUACUGAGAACUGUCUCGCUUUCAAAAGGAGAGUUCAAGGACUCAUUGACGCGGGUAUCCUACGAUUCGAUAGUGCUAGUAACGCCACGGGGAACCUGUUCCCUAACCAUACCAAAAGGAAUGUGAGCACAGUGGGGAAAGAGGAUGAAUGGAAGGUCAGAAGAUGUGUGGCAGAAAUAAGGACGCCUCUGCAGAAAAUCUGGGAGAUAUUGGUUAAGAAAGGAUUGCUCUGUCACUCUGAUAGAGUUUUUGGAGAAGAAGGUCAAAGUUUUUGCAAUUUUCAUGGGAUUGUUGGGCACGACAUUCAGUCAUGCGAGGACUUUAAAAGGUUACUUCAAGACCAGAUGGAUAAUAAGGAGAUCAAGGUCCUUAACAAGAGUCAAGAUGCCAACGAAAGAGAAGUAUGCGUCUCUGAUAGCCAAUCAUCAGGGCCCCCUUAUAGUGCUGAUCGACCGUUGGUAAUUUAUUACGACGCGAUGAGAGAGCCAUUGAAACCACAGAUGGUAAUUGAAGUACCAUCUCCUUUCCCGUAUAAGGACAACAAAAUAGUACCGUGGAAAUAUGAUGUUAAUAUCGUUACACCGGAAGUUGAAAAGUCUAAAGCCAUAACUGAAGAUGUUGGGGAGGUAGGUCAUUUUACUCGAAGUGGACGAUGCUAUUCUAAAGAAGUUGAACCGGUAAAGAAAAGUAGUGACUCGAAGCAAAAAGGGAAAGCAGUGAUGUACGAGGUCGAAGUCGAGCAAGAAAUUCCACUCGUGCAAGAAACUAAAAAGCCUGUGAAUGAGGAAGAAGCUCAAGAAUUCUUGAAAUUUAUUAAGCACAACGAAUAUAGUGUGGUGGAACAAUUGAGCAAGCAGCCAGCACGAAUCUCAGUUCUAUCUCUACUAUUAAAUUCAGAGCCACACCGGAACGCUAUAUUGAAGGUGUUAAAUCAAGCUUAUGUGGCCAACAACACAUCUGUCGAAAAGCUUGAUAGGUGGGUAAACAAUCUGAAUGCGGACAACUUCAUCUCUUUUAGUGAUGAUGAGAUACCGCCAAAUGGUAGAGGCUCGGUGAAAGUGCUGCAUAUCACAACCCGCUGCAAGGGCUACAUAAUACCGAACGUACUCAUCGAUAAUGGGUCAGCGAUAAAUGUUAUGCCAUUGGCUACACUUCCAGAAUACCGAUGGAUUUGUCCUACUUAAAGCCCUGUCAUUCCAUGGUAAGAGCAUUCGACGGGACGAAGCGCGAAGUCAUGGGAAAGAUCGAAAUCCCUUUGGAAGUUGGCCCCUACAUCUAUGCGGUCGAAUUCCAAGUCAUGGACAUUACACCCUCUUAUAACUGUCUUUUGGGAAGACCUUGGAUUCAUUCUGCUGGAGCAGUCCCAUCAUCCCUCCAUCAAAAGGUGAAAUUCAUCAUGGAUGGCUGUUUGGUCACAGUCGAGGGCGAAGAAGACAUCGUCGCAUCUAUCUCUGCUGAUGCGCCAUACCUGGAAGUAAGCAAGGACGCAGUGGAAUGUUCCUUUCGAUCCCUUGAAUUCAUCAAUGACACUUUCGUCGCUGAGGGAAAUAGAAUUCCGAUGCCAAAACUGUCGAGAAAUACCAGAAUGGGUGUCAAGUUGACCGUAGGAAGGGGAGCUCGUGCGAGAAGAGGUUUAGGGAGACAUCUGCAAGGAAUAGUGAGGGCUUUAAAGCUAGUGCACCACAAGGCUCGAUACGGUUUGGGGUUCCAGCCUGACAUGCACCAAAGAAGAAGACAGUGGAAGAAGGAUCAAGAGAGAAGAAUUACAAGAACUUUAGGCCGAGAACCAGAAUGGGAACCAAUAGAGUACCCUCCUUUGUCAAAAACAUUUAUAUCUGCGGGAAUGAUGUACCCUAGACAAGAUGAUCCACGAAACAUGCUGGGAUUAAUUGAAAGGGAUUUUCAGAAUGUCAGUAUAAAUGUCAUUGACAAAGAAGCUAGUGCAAGUAAAGAUGUAUCGAGGAUACGCCUUUGCCCUCCUGGUUUCAUGUUGAACAAUUGGAUUGCUGAGGAGCUUCUUGUAGUUUAUAAGCCUUCAGAGUAAUGCUAAACAUCAACCUUCUAUUGUGUCCUUAGAUAUAAUAGAAUUCUUUUGUAAGAGUUUGCAUUCACUCUUUAUCAUUUAAAUGAAUAUCAAUGAAGAUGCAUUUUGUCACGAUUUUUCGUAUUAUCACUAAUCUCAUAAUCAUUUUCUCAUUUCAUAGCCUAUCCUUACAUUUGCCUCCUUGCCAUGACAUAACAUUUGUUUGUUGUUUCCAAUACUUGGAUGUCCCCCUAUAGCUUCCUUUUCCAUUCAACUUUCAGGUGCUCAGAUAUUGACGACAUGAAUAAGCCCGUUACGAAUCUUGAAAUUGAUUUUGAGAAGGCUGUUUGCUUAGGAGAAUUUGAAGCCGAAGAAAAUGCUGAAGAUUAUGUCUCGUCUCCUGAAUUGUUAAGAAUGGUGGAACAAGAGGAUAAACAGGUUUUGCCUCAUGAAGAAUCUGUGGAAACAAUAAAUUUGGGCACUGAAGAGAGGAAACAAGAAGUGAAGAUUGGGACUUCUAUUUCAGAAAGUACCAGGCAUAGUUUGAUCACUUUACUCCGCGAAUACAAAGAUGUUUUCGCGUGGUCAUACCAGGACAUGCCAGGGCUAGAUGAAGAUUUAGUGGUCCAUAAGCUCCCAUUGAAGCCAGAAUACAAGCCCAUCCAGCAAAAAUUAAGACGGAUGAGACCCGAAAUGCUGUUGAAAAUAAAAGAGGAAGUCAAGAAGCAAUUUGAUGCUGGCUUCCUACAAGCCUCCAAAUAUCCAGAAUGGGUGGCUAACAUAGUCCCGGUACCAAAGAAAGAUGGAAAAGUACGAAUGUGCGUGGAUUACCGUGACCUGAAUCGAGCACGCCCAAAAGAUAAUUUUCCCUUGCCACAUAUUGACACGUUGGUGGACAACACAGCAAAACAUUCAUUGUUUUCUUUUAUGGAUGGAUUCUCGGGGUAUAAUUAGAUCAAGAUGGCCCUUGAGGAUAUAGAGAAAACUACCUUCAUAACAAUGUGGGGAACGUUCUGCUAUAAGGUGAUGCCAUUCGGGUUAAAGAAUGCUGGGGCAACAUAUCAGAGGGCUAUGGUGACAAUAUUCCAUGACAUGAUGCAUAAGGAAAUAGAGGUCUACGUCGAUGAUAUGAUUGCUAAAUCUCGAGGAGAAGAAGAACAUGUAAUGAACCUCAAGAAGUUGUUCGAAAGGAUUAGAAAGUUUCAGCUGAAGCUUAAUCCAGCCAAAUGUAUAUUCGGGGCUACCUCGGGAAAAUUGCUAGGCUUCAUUGUCAGUGAAAGAGGUAUCGAAGUUGAUCCAGAUAAAAUAAAAGCCAUCCAAGAAUUACCACCUCCGCGCACGCAAAAGGAAGUUAGAGGAUUUUUAGGGAGAUUAAAUUACAUCGCCCGAUUUAUCGCUCAACUUACCAACCAAUGCGACCCAAUUUUUCGACUCCUUCGAAAACAUAACCCGGGAGAAUGGAAUGAGGAGUGCCAAGUGGCCUUCGAUAAGAUAAAACGGUAUCUGUCUAAUCCUCCUGUGCUAGUACCACCGACCCCUGGAAAACCCUUAAUUUUGUACCUGACCGUGUUUGAAAACUCAAUGGGUUGCGUGCUGGGGCAACAUGAUGAGUCAGGGAGAAAAGAAAAGGCGAUCUACUACCUCAGCAAAAAGUUCACUGAAUAUGAGGCAAAAUAUUCGUCCAUUAAGAAAUAUUGUUGCGCUCUGGUUUGGGUAGCUCGGAGACUCAGACAAUAUAUGUUGUAUCACACGACAUGGCUAAUUUCAAAGCUGGACCCAAUAAAAUACAUGAUGGAAUCGCCGGCACUAUCAGGAAGAAUGGCACGAUGGCAGAUCCUCCUUUCGGAAUAUGACAUUGCCUAUGUAAGUCAGAAGUCAAUAAAAGGGAGCGCAGUAGCUGACUUCUUAGCAACUCGAACGACAGAGGAAUAUGAGCCUUUAAGAUUCGAUUUCCCAGACGAAGACUUAAUGUGCAUCAUAGAAAUAGAAUCCGAGUCAUCAAAAGAGAAGUCAUGGAAGAUGUGCUUUGAUGGUGCGUCAAAUGCUUUAGGGCAUGGAAUUGGAGCAAUCCUGGUAUCACCAGACGGGAAUCAUUAUCCGUUCACUGCAAGACUGAACUUCUUCUGUACCAAUAAUAUCGCAGAAUAUGAGGCCUGUAUCAUGGGACUUCGUGCAGCUAUCGAACGAAACAUCGAGAUCUUGGAGGUGUACGGGGACUCAGCCCUAGUGAUUUACCAAAUCCGUGGAGAAUGGGAAGUGAGGGACUCAAAAUUGAUUAAGUACAGUGAUUUAGUGGCUUGAUUGAUCAAGGAAUUCAAAGAAAUAACUUUUCAUUACUUCCCACGAGAAGAGAACCAACUGGCUGAUGCCCUAGCCACUUUGGCUUCAAUGUUCAAAGCAAGUAGAGAAGCAGAAAUAAUGCCCCUCAAAAUGAGCAUAUACGAGGUCCCUGCACACUGUUGUAGCAUUGAGAAAGAAGUAGACGGACGGCCUUGGUUCCAUGAUAUCUUAGAAUAUAUCAAGAAUCAAAGGUAUCCCGAACAAGCGAAUGAGAACGAUAAAAGAACAAUUAGAAGAAUGGCAGCGGGAUUUGUUCUUGAUGGGGAUAUCCUGUAUAAAAGAGGAAAUGAUCAGAUGCUUUUGAGAUGUGUGGAUGAUGUUGAAACCAGAAAAAUACUUGAAGAGGUCCAUGAGGGAAUUUGCGGAACGCAUGCCAAUGGUUUCAAUAUGGCCAGAAAGAUCAUGAGACUCGGUUAUUAUUGGCUGACAAUGGAAAGUGACUGCAUCAAUUUUGCCAGAAAAUGCCACAAAUGUCAAAUCUACGGCGAUAAAAUUCAUGUAGCCCCUUCACCCCUUCAUGUCAUGACUUCUCCGUGGCCUUUUUCUAUGUGGGGCAUGGAUGUCAUAGGGCCAAUUUCUCCAAAAGCUUCAAAUGGACAUCGAUUCAUUUUUGUAGUUAUUGAUUACUUCACAAAAUGGAUUGAAGCCGCUUCGUUUGCCAAUGUGACGAAGACUGCAGUGUGCAAGUUUUUGAAAAAAGAAAUCAUUUGCCGAUAUGGUUUCCCUGAAAGAAUCAUCUCAGAUAAUGCCACGAAUCUGAACAAUAAGAUGAUGAAAGAAGUGUGCGAGCAGUUCCAAAUAAAGCAUCAUAAUUCCUCGCCCUAUCGCCCAAAGAUGAACGGGGCUGUUGAAGCAGCUAACAAGAACAUUAAGAGGAUCAUUGGGAAAAUGACUGAGACAUAUAAAGAUUGGCACGAGAAACUUCCAUUUGCUUUGUUUGCAUAUCGUACAUCUGUGCGAACAUCUACGGGAGCAACUCCUUUCUCUCUAGUCUAUGGAAUGGAAGCUGUGCUACCUAUCGAGGUUGAGAUCCCCUCUCUGCGAGUAUUGAUGGAAUCAAAGUUUGAAGAAGCAGAAUGGGUUCGAGCUCGAUAUGAUCAGUUGAACCUCAUUGAAGAAAAACGUCUAAGGGCAAUUUGUCAUGGGCAAAUGUACCAAAAAAGAAUGAUCGCAGCCCAUGACAAGAAGGUACGACCAAGAGAGUUCCAUGAAGGAGAACUCGUUCUGAGAAAGAUUCUCCCAAUACAAAAAGACCUGCGAGGAAAAUGGGCACCAAAUUGGGAAGGACCAUACGUUGUAAAAAAGGCAUUCUCGGGAGGAGCUUUAAUCCUUACCGAGAUGGACGGAAAGGAGUUACCGAAUCCGGUGAAUUCAGAUGCGGUGAAGAAAUAUUAUGCUUAAGAUGAAAACCCGAAAAUGGCAUCUAAAAAAAAAGGGCGAAAACCCGAAAAGGGCGUCUUGAUUAGUACAAAAAGAUUAGGAUGAAAACCCGAGAGGGCGUCCUAAUGAAACAAACCUGGCGGUCGAACGAUAGGUCGAGUAGUGAGACUACAGUAUUUGAAGCACUUCUGAAAGCUCAAAAUUUUCUAUGCAAGAAGCCAUGCUCGAAAAGAUUAUUGAUUGAGGAACGUGGAAGAGUUCAUGUGUUGAAUAUCUAGAGCAUUUGUAUCCGUUGAAUACGACCUUUUCUUUCUUUUUGACAUUUUUACUCUCAUUGGUUAACUUUCUUUGUUUGCCGCAUUUGAAAUAAAGGAAUAUGAGAUAUCCUUUUUGUCCCUACCUGACCAUUUUCAUGCAUCUCAUUAUGUGUUUAUUUAAUGAUAAAUAGUGAAAUGACAUACUCUAAACAAAAGAAAUGUCAAGCAUUACCCGGAUAAGAAUUUGAUAAGUGCAAGAUCUUCAAAGCAAGAACAAAGUUUAACCAAGGGCAAAAGGGUGAUAUCUGAGAAACGUUGAUUACUCGUAAAGCUCGAAGACAGGUAUGAGGCCUGAAGAGAAGGUCGAGAAUCAAAACAAUGAACACAGAUCCUCAACAAUCAUGGCGAAAAGGACAUACGACCUAUAUGCUUAAGGAGCACUGCAUAAUCAUGUAGGCAUAAAGGCAUUUAAGACAAACAUGUGCAUAUCAUGAUAACAUCAUGCAUAGCAUAUACAGGUAAUCCAGAAAAGCCAGAAAUCUUGAAUGAGAGUCGCACUGAAUCAAAGGAAAAGAUACCCGAGUUCUACCAAAGGACUGGUUUUGGUAUUUUGAUGUUUUUAAUUCAUGCUUUCCAAGGAAAAUUGACUCAUAUUGCGAGAGGUGAGUCAAGCCUCAGGUCACGCUGAGGUAUUUUAAUUCCUUUUGUUUCAAAAAUCAACUCAUAUUGCUAGAGGUGAGUUGAGCCUCGGGGCACGCCGAGGUACUUUUAGUUUAUGUUUUAAAUUGACUCAUAUUGCGAGAAGUGAGUUAAGCCUUUUAAUUCCUGUUUUUCAAAAAAUCAACUCAUAUUGCGAGAGGUGAGUUGAACCUUUUAAUUUCUGUUUUUCAAAAAUCAACUCAUAAUACAGAGGUGAGUUGAGCCUCGGGCCACAUGCCGAGGUAUUUUCAAAAUCUGUUUGGCAAAUUCUGUGUUCAAAAAUCAACUCAUAAUACAGAGGUGAGUUGAGCCUCGGGUCAUGCCGAGGUAUUUCUUUUAAAUUUUUGUUUUCAAAAAAUCAACUCAUAUUGCGAGAGGUGAGUUGAGCCUCAGGACACGCUGAGGUAAUUUCAAUUUUUUUUUUCCAAAUUUCAACUCAUGUUGCGAGAAAUGGGUUGAGCCUCAGGACACGCUGAGGUAAUUUCAAUUUUUGUUUUUCAAAAUCAACUCAUAUUGCGAGAGGUGAGUUGAGCCUCAGGACACGCUGAGGUAAUUUUAAUUUAUGUUUUUCAAAAAUCAACUCAUAUUGCGAGAGGUGAGUUGAGCCUCGGGGCACGCCGAGGUAUUUUCAAAUUCUACUUUCAAAAAAUCAACUCAUAUUGCGAGAGGUGGGUUGAACCUUUUAAUUUCUACUUUUUCAAGAUCAGCUCAUAUUUCUAGAGGUGAGUUGAGCCUCGGGGCACGCUGAGGUAUUUUCAAUUUUUUGUGUGUUUUAAUUUCAACUCAUAUUGCGAGAGGUGAGUUGAGCCUUGGGUCACAUGCCGAGGUAUUUUCAAAAUCUGUUUGGCAAAUUCUGUGUUCAAAAAUCAACUCAUAUUGCGAGAGGUGGGUUGAACCUUUUAAUUUCUACUUUUUUGAAAUCAACUUAUAUUGCGAGAGGUGAGUUGAGCCUCAGAACACGCUGAGGUAAUUUCAAUUUCUGUUGUCAAAAAAAAAAUCAACUCAUAUUGCGAAAAGUGAGUUGAGCCUUUGCCACAUGCGGAGAUAUUUUCAGUUUUUGUUUUUAAUGUCUGUUUUUAAAGAGUCAAUUCAUAUUGCGAGAAAUGAGUCGAACUCAGGAUCACAUGCCGAGUAAGAAUAAAGAUUGAAGCUGAUGAAAAACACCAGAGUUGGUCUCCCUGAAGCUGCAGUGGAGCCUGUCAAAAGUUACAAGUCUUGUCUCCCUGAGGUCGCAGUAGAACUGAUCGAGGAUAUCAAAUCUUGUCUCGCUAGAGUUACAAAAGAGAAGAUCACGAAUCUCAUCUCACUGAAGUGAUAAAAGAACAGAUUGAAGCUUAGAUCUUAUCUUUAUGAAGCUACGUGGAAGCAGAUCAAAGCCACAAAUCACAUAUCUUUGAAGUCACAUUGGAGUAGAUUUAAACUACAAGGCAUAUAUCAGAAGAUGCAGUGGAUUGGAAGAAGACCAUCUGAACAAGAAGAGCACCAAUGAAGUCAAGACUCGGCAGGACAGGGCAAAAUUGGCCUUUCACUUAGUCUUUGCUCUAUUCCCGUUACACGACAAUGAGCAAAGAGGGGCAGCUGUACUAGGCCAAUUUCGGCCCAAUCUCAUUUACAAAUUAAAACUCCAUUUACAAAACACUAAACCCCUUAAAACCCAAACCCAUUCACACUUUUACAAACCCAAAUACUAUUAACCCAAUACCCUAAACUAACCUGCCCUAAUCCAAAAACCCCUAACCCAAUAAGCCCAUUAAACAAAACAAGCCCAAACCAAUACCAAAUCCCUAGCCCAAGACCAGAAUCGGGAAACCCUAGCAGCUCCCCAAGCCUCCAGCCGCUGCACGCUAGGCCAACCAUGGGCCACCUUGCGCACUACCACCACCACACCCCGCGCAUGCCCUUCUCCUCCAUGCGUCUGACACCGCCUGCAAAAUGAGACACAACAACAGCAGCAACAGAGCAGUAGCGAAUGGAAGAAACAAUAUUUUUUGUACUCUGCUUUGAAACAUUCGGCUAUAAAGCCUAAAGGGAAAAUUUGUAAAGGAAGGAAGGGGGGCAUAUUUUUACGAACGAAUACACAAUAGGCAAUACAAAAAAAGCAAUAUUGGAAGGUGAUUUCUCCGAUCGAAAUCUCUGGGCUUUCUCUUUGUGAUUAUUUUUUUUUAUUUCGAGAGUAAAUAAAAGAAAAGGGGAACACGAACACAGACGCACACAGAAUAUACACGCACAGAAAUAUAUAAAAAAACAAUUAAGAAUUUGCAAGGGUAAUCUCAAGUUUUCUUUCGUUCUUUCUUUUUUUUUUCUUUUUUGUUUGGUUUAGAUCGUCUUUUAGUAGGUAAAUCGACUCCAAUGAGAUCCCGAAUACUUUAAGAUACAAAAGUAGGGGAGAGGGGUCAAGUGGUGUUGAAUCUCUAUUUUAUGAACUUUCUUCGUUUUUUUUAAAAAUGUAUGAGAUUUGAAGUUUUAUUUUUUCUCAAGUAAAAAAGAAAAUACUUACUAAUUUCCUCAAGGCAUGGUCGAAUACUUACGGCCAUAGAACCAGGAAUUGUUUUGCGCGCUGCUGGACACCAAAUCCGAUGGAGAUUCAGCUGCUUGUAAAAGGAACCCUAGCAAAUUUAUUUUCAAGGCUGCUGGUUUUUGUUAAAAUGGAUGGGUAUUUGAAAGGAAAGGAAGGGAAAAUGGUUUAAAAUGGUCUGAAAUACAAAACAGUGCUGCCCAUGACCAUAAGGGUCCGCGCGUGGGCCCGAAUAGAAAAAUGGAUCUGCGCCAUGUUGUGUGAAUGGGGAAAUUGCGCGCUGAAUCCUUCCCUUGCGCACAACCUUCAAUUCGCGCCCCAAUUUCCCCCCCAACCAAUAAACGACGCCGUUUCAAGGGUGGGUCGGGUCGACCCGACCCGCCCCAGCAAGGAUCCGCGUGUUUUUAAGAGCGGAAGGGCUAUUUGCGCAAUCAGCGCUUCCGCAUUUUUGGUGUUUUAAAUUAGGUUUAUGUUUGUUUCUGAAUUGACCCCAGAAUUUUGCUCAGUUUUUAAUUUAACCCCCGUAUAUGCGCAGCGUUUUGGAAAGUUUGAAAAUUUGCACUUUUAAUACCCCAUGGUUUUACCCGCAUUAAAAUAGGUCCUUUCCCUUUUAAUUUUUUUAAAUUCGCCCCAAAGCUUUGUUUUUAGUUCAUUUUUGGUCCUUUUUGUUUCCUUAUUUAAUAUGAUUAUUGUUAUUUCCAAUAUUAUAGUAUUAUUAUUACUAUAUAUUAGUAUACAUUUUUCUUUUACAUGUGAAUAUUGUAUAUAUUUAUAUAUAAUAUUAUUUUUAAUUAUUGUAUUUUAAUAUUAUUAUUAUAUUAUAUAUACUUCUUCGUAUUUUAUUAUUAUUAUUAGUAUUAUUAUCUUUAUUCAUAUUAGCAUACAUAUGUUAUUAUAUAUAUACACAUUUCAUAUAGUAUUAUCUUUUCUUUACUUUUAUAUUUAUUAUUAUAUUCAUUGUUAAUACAUCUAUUUUUUAUACAUGUAUAUAUACCCUUUUUGUAAUAUUAUUUUUUACACCUAUAUGUAUAUAUUUUAUUUUAUUGUUGCUAGUUAUGUACUUUUUUACUAUCUUAUACGUACUUCAAACACUAUACGUAUAGUAUAUUUCUAACACUACUACUAUUUAUAUAAAUAUUUUACGUAUAUACUCUUAAUUAUCUUCAUAUGUGUUUUCAUUGUAUUCUUAUUACGUUCUCGUAUUCAAUGCUAACAUUGCAUUUGAUCUUGCAUGCACGGUUAUUAUUUUCUAAUAUUAUUGUCACCUCGAUUAUUUGUUUCAACAUAUUCCUAGCUCUUUCAUUUAUUGAUUUUUAUUUCAUAUUAUUUUACUUUGCAUUAUUUCGAAAAUCGUAUUCUUGUUUUGCUAAUUAAUUUCAAUAAUCAAGGCAAUAUAUCGAUUUAACAUUAAGUCAUCAAGUUCAUCGCUAUGUUGGGUGAACGUCAAUUGACUCGUGUUAAAGCGAUAUACCCUUCUAAAAGAAAAAACGGAAUAAACUAAGUUUCUUGUUUUUUAAUGGGAUCACGACUAAAUUUUACAUUGAACCAUAUUUUUGAAAAUUAAGACAACAUGUGUUUAUGAGAUACCAAUUUUUGGGCGUCGCGAGGGUGCUAAUACCUUCCUUGCGCGUAACCGACUCCCGAACCCUAAUUUUCCUCUGGCUUUUAACGUAGACCUAAAUUCAGCCUUCCUUUUGUUUUUUUUUAAAAAAGAAGUCUAACAGGUGUCCGGUCACACCUAAUAAAAAGGAUUGGUGGCGACUCCCUCUUUAUUUUGAAAUCGAAUUUCAGUUUCCAAACUUUUUCACUAGAUCGCCACAAUUAGCGACCCCGGAACCAAUUUUUAUGUCGCUACACUAAUUACAAUAAAGAAACAACUAACAUCUUUUAGACUUUACCAUUAGAUUUUAUAGUUCAUUAUAAAUUUGUAUUCUUAUACAUAUACUACGAACCCCAAUAUAUGUCUCCUGUGAAGCCUAAAAUGUGUCCUCUAGUGGAGUUGACCCUUCGGCAAACCAUGUGCAUCUACGUCACUAGAUGCGAUCCUAAAUUAGGUGAACAUCAUGUAACACGCACCUUCGCCAAACAUAUGCGAGGUGCAUCUAGGGAAGUCUAAGAUCAUUGAUUACCCAAUUGUUCUAAAACGUUAUAUUCUAGGACAUCACACCACUGUCACUACCAAGAAGCAACAUCAGAUCCCAUUGUCAAUAGUCCCUAAACAUGUUGCAUGUAAGACCCCUUAACCCUAAACCGUCGCCAGAACAGGGUUACGAGACAUUACCGAACUUAUCGGACAAUUUACAACUAAUUCUUAAAUAAAUAACAAACAUAUUAUAAUAUAAUCAUAAAUUCAUAUAAAACUUUUGCUAAUUGACUUCAUUUAAAAAAAAACUCAAUAUAACAUCUUUAUAAAUAUUUAACUUUCUCUACAAUUUCAAAUCGCAACCAAUCCAAACAAAUCACUUCAUGAAUUUAUACAUCUCUAAUUAUAACAAACUAAUAAUAUAAAGUUCUAACAUUUUUAUGUUUAUAACAAUCUAACAUAAGAUGUCUAAUUGAUUCAUUUAAAUUAUCAUUCAAAAAAAUUGCCCAAAGCUAUGAUAUAGGCUAUGUUUAAGACAUAUGUAAUUGUAUGGAACAACCAUUACCAUCAUUUAUCAUUAAUAUUUUAUGUAUCAAAAUAACAACAAAUUACAACCUAGGUACAUGCCAUUUUCAAAAGAGAAAAUACAUCACCACGUAUUUGAGUUCAGAAUUGACUUGGAUGUUGAUUUGUACCUAACCUGUGCACGAAAAUAAACUAUACGCUGAGUAUGCACUUAAUGGUAUUUCUAUAAACCAAUACUUAAAUCAAUUAUUAGCUCAUAUCCAUUUUGACUAUAAAACCUUAUUUACAUAACAAUAGUUAAUUUCUUAACUCGAUAAAGUAUAUGAUUCUAAUCAUAUUUAAUCAAUAACAAUCAGUUAUUCAAUACAGUAAUUUAGUUAUUCAGUAACUAUCAAAUAUUCAUUGCAGUAGUUUAGUUAUUCAAUAACUAUCAAUUAUUCAAUACAGUAAUUUAGUUAUUCAGUAACUAUCAAUUAUUUAGUACAGUAGUUUACCCCUAUUAACAUAACUUGGACCUAGACGGAUACACGGAUCCAAACAACACACUCGUACGGCACUUAGUGCCUUAUCGGCUUUGUCGAAGUAAACAGUAACAGUAUGGUACAUAGUACCUCAUCGGAUUAAACCCAAGUAACAGUAACAGUAACAGUACGGCACACAAGGUGCCUCAUCGACUCGAAGUCGAAGUAAUAGUACGACACUUAUAGUGUCUCAUCGACUCAAGAUCGAAGUAUCUCUGAACACUAAACACAAAUUCACAUACAUUCAAUUUAAUAUCAAAACACUAAUACUUACCUUAAUAUCUUUCCAUACAUAUAUAAUAAUAAUAACAACAAUUUAAAUGUUAAGUUCGAUUUGUAGAAAUACAAACCGUAAUUCUCGAAUUACUCUUAGUCAACCUUCUCAUUUCCUUUCUUUGUCGAGGUCUCCGGUAUUAUGUUAGCUACGGAAAUUAAAAUAAUUAUACCAUUAAUUACAGCACUCAUUAUAACAAAUGAUUGAAUUUCUAUUCAAUUUAUACCUUAUUUUCAAUUAGGUUCUAACUAACUCAUUCACUUUACUAACUUAAUUCAUACUUCAUUCUUAUUCAAAUUCCUAUCAAAUUCAACUUGACUAUCAAGUGUUUAUAAUAAAACCCUAAUUUAAAACUUCUUUUAAUUGGAUCCCUCAAUCACCAAAACUUAUAGCCUAGUUUACAAUUUAAUCCUUUAAUCAAUUCUAACUUAAAAUUCAUUCAAUUAAACCCCUAAUUCAUUAUUUUGUUCAACAUGAACUAUAUUCAAAAACCUAAAAACUUCUAAAACCCCAACUUAAUUUCAACAAAACUUUGUUCUAAAGCUUUUAAAACAUCAAAUUUAAAUAAAAAUGACUUAAUUGACUUGCCAAUUAAAGCUUAAAGCUCCCAAACCCUAGUUUUUCCCUUUUUCUUUCUUUUUUUCUUUUUCCCUGGUACUUUCGAAUAGCCUAUUCUGUUUUGGUUUCCUUCUUUGUUUUAUUUUCUUUUAUUUUAUGCUUUAUUUGUUUGAUAAUAAUAUAAUAUCUUAAUAAAUAUCUAUUUAAUAAUCAAUAUAUUUGUUACAAGUGUAAUAUUACUUAUAUUUACACAUGUACUAAAUCAUCAUCAUACAUUUGUCAUGUUUUAAUUUAUUUAUCACAUAAAAAUCUUAUAAUAUAAUUAUUUAACUAAUAAAUAUCUUUUACUAAUAAUAAAUAAUAAAUAAUAAAUAUCUAUUUACUUAAAUAAUAAGUAAUUUAAAUCCAUGAAUUACAUUUUUCAUUUUGGUCCUUUAUAUUUUUUUAAUCUAUAAUUCAAUUUUUACUCCUUAUUCAAUCUAGUCAUUCUUCCUAUUUUCUCUUAAUUAAGCUAAAUUCGCCUAAUUAAAACUUAAUUAAACACACUACUGACUCAGAAAUAUUCCUAAUAAUUAUUUUCAAACUCGGUUUACUAAGACGGAGGCUCGAUAAUAUACUUUUCUGAUGCCCGUGAACUUUAGGUCAUUACAUUUAUUCCCCCUUAAUAAAUUUCGUCCUCGAAAUUUACCUAAGAAAAGAUGAGGAUACUGUGCUCUCAUUAUCUCUUUUAGUUCCCCAGUCACUUCUUCUACAUUAUGACUCCACCAUAAAACUUUCACUAAAGGAACUUGUUUAUUACGCAAUUCCUUUACCUCACAAGCCAAUAUCUUAAUCGGUUCUUCUUCAUAUGACAGAUCGGGUCGAAUUUCAAUAUCCUCUGUAGAAAUAAUAUGUGAAGGAUCUGAUCGAUAUCUUUUAAGCAUAGAAAUAUGAAAAAGAUCAUGAUUCUUUUGUAAUUCUGGAGGCAAAGCCAUACGAUAUGCAACUGGUUCAACUCUCUCAAUAAUCUCAUAUGGCCCAAUAAAACGAGGACUUAGUUUUCCUUUUCGACCGGACCUCAUAAUUUUCUUCCAAGGUGAAACUUUUGAAAAUACCUUAUCACCAACCAUAUACUCAAUAUCUCUACGUUUCAAAUUUGUUUAUGAUUUCUGCCUGUCAAAAGCUGUCUUCAAUCUUUCUCGAAUCUUCUUAACAGUAUCUUCUGUUUCUUGAGUCAAUUUUGGUUCAAUCACUUUUCUCUCAUUUAAUUCUAUUUAACACACUAGUUACUGAUACCUUCGACCAUAUAAAGCUUCAUAUGGUGCCAUUUGAAUACUUGAUUGAAAACUAUUAUUGUAUACAAAUUCAGCUAAUGGUAGAUAACAUUUCCAACCUGAUUCAAAAUCAAUAAUACAAGCUCAAAGCAUAUCUUCUAAAAUCUGGAUAACUCGUUCUGAUUGUCCAUCGGUCUGUGGAUGGAAAACUGUGCUAAAAUUAAGUCAAGUACCAAGAGAUUCAUGUAGUUGCCUCCAAAAUAUGGAUGUAAACCGUGGAUCUCGAUCAGAAAUUAUUGACACCAGAAUACCAUGUAAUCGUACUAUCUUUCGAAUAUAAACUUCAACAAGUUUCUAAAGUGACCAAUUCGUUCUGACUGCUAUAAAAUGAGCUGACUUUGUAAGCCAAUCAACAAUCACCCAAAUAGCAUUUUUCUUACUUGGUGACAAUGGCAACCCUGUUACAAAAUCCAUUGUGAUGCAGUCCCAUUUUCGUUCAGGAAUGUUAAUAGGCUGAAGUAAACUAGUUGGAACUUGAUGCUCUACUUUGACUCGCUAACAUGUCAAACAUUUAGCCACAAAUUCCACAAUAUCUCUCUUCAUACUUGGCCACCAAUAUAAUUCUCGUAAAUCACGGUACAUUUUCGUUCCUCGGGGAUGUAAUGAAAAAGGACUAUCAUGUGCUUCUCGAAGUAUCAACUCUUUCAAUUCUGAAAUAUUUAGAACACAGAUCCGAUUAUGAAAUCUUAGACAAUCAUGCUCAUCAAUACUAAAAUUCUCUGCUAUGCCACUCUGAACCAUUUCUUUUCUCUUCAUUAGCUUAUCAUCUUCUAAUUGAGCUGACUUGAUUCGUUCAAACAUCAUUGGUUUAAUUUUUAAUUCACCCAAUAAACCUCCAUCAUCACUAAUUCUGAUUGUCCAUUUAAAGAAGCAUCACUAUACACAAUAAAAUCUUUCCCUGAUUCUGGUAAAGUCAAAAUUGGUGCCUUUGUCAACAUCUGCUUCAAUUUCAUAAAACUUUCUUGAGAUUGAUCAUUCCAAACAAACGGAACAUUAUUUUGCAAUAGCUUUGUCAUUGGUAAAGCUAUUUUUGAAAAUUCAUUCACGAACCUUCGAUAAUACCCAGCCAAUCCAAGAAAACUACGUACCUCUGACACAUUUUUGGGAGUUUUCCACUGGACGAUUGCUUCAAUCUUCUUUUGAUCCACUCUAAUUCCAUCUGCUGACACCACGUGACCAAGAAAUACCGCCUCUGAUAACCAAAAUUCACACUUACUCAAUUUCCCAUACAACUGUUUCUCUCGUAACAUUUGUAAAACAAUUUGAAGAUGUUGCUCAUGUUCAGAUUCUGUUGCUCAUGUUCAGAUUCAGACUUUGAAUAUACCAAAAUGUCAUCAAUAAAGAUUACCACGAACUGAUCCACGUAUGGCUAAAAAAUUCGGUUCAUAAGAUCCAUAAAAGUAGCUGGGGGAUUUGUUAACCCAAAUGGCAUCACUAAGAACUCAUAAUGACCAUAUCUUGUAUGAAAUACUGUCUUCAGUACAUCACUUUCUUUCACCUUUAACUGAUAGUAGCCCGAUCUUAAAUCAAUCUUUGAAAAUACUGAAGCUCCUUUCAAUUGAUCAAAUAAAUCAUCAAUACGUGGUAAUGAAUAUUUAUUCUUGAUUGUCACAUUGUUCAAUUACCGAUAAUUAAUACACAACCGCAUCAAACCAUCUUUCUUUUUAACAAAUAACACUAGAGCUCCCUAAUGUGAUGUACUAGGUCGUAUAAAACCUCGAUCCAACAAAUCUUGCAAUUGUAUUUACAAUUCCUUCAACUCCAUAAGUGACAUAUGAUAUGGAGGUAUUGACACUGAAUCUGUACCCGGGUAUACUUCGAUCACAAAUUCAACUUCCCGAUCAGGAAGUAAUCCAGGUAACUCUUCAGAGAAUACAUCAGGAAAUUCACAUACAGUCCUGAUUUUACUAUAUUUACUCUCCACCCAAUCCGAAUUAAUUACAUAUGCUAAGAAAGUAGCACAACCUUGACAAAGAAGCUUACUAGCUUUAAUUGCUGAGGUAAUACGAACUGAUCCACUGGUCUGAAUACCAUUUAAUUCAAUCUGAUCACCAAUUUCAUUCUGAACAGUGAACUUCUUUUUAUAGCAGUCCAAAAUUACCCCAUGUUCUGAUAGCCAGUCCAUGCCCAAUAUAAUGUGAAAGUCGCCAAAUGGCAUAAUUAACAAGUCAACAGAAAAGAUUCUAUCCUAAAUCAUUAACGGGCAUCUUCAACAUAUUUGAUUCACUAAUAUAGUGUGCCCCAAAGAACUAGAUACCUCUACUGUUACUCUAGACAGUUCAGGUUUUAAUUUUCCAUUCUCAGCUAAUUUUGUGUUAACAUAAGAAUAUGACAAUCCCGGAUCUAUUAAAGCAUAAACGGGCUCUAAAUGCAAUAAAAAUACACCUGUCACCACAUCGUAUGCAUCUCCUUCUUCACGAGUUCUUACAACAUAUGCUCAGGCUAGGGUUUUAGCUUCCGAUUGUUGGGUGGCAACUUCACUUGUUCUUUUAGCACCUCCUCUACUAUCUGAGCCACCUCUGCCUGAUCCUCAACCUCUAGAAGCAGAUUCAGAUCUCUGUGAUACUGUUGGUGCUGCUUUAUUAAUCUUUGGACAGUCUUUUAUGAAAUGAUUGGUGGAUCCGCAACGGAAACAUCCUCCAGUUAAUUUCCAACACUCUCCUCGAUGUUUAUUCCCACAGUAUUGACCUUCCGAAAUUUUAGUAUUCUGAGAUGACCCUCUGAUGCUGCUAGUGGAAACUGUCUUCUGCCUACCACGAUUCCUGUCACUUCUAUUUGAUCUAGAACCAAAUCUCCAACUGCCUCGAAAUUCUUUUGAUCUCUUAAGUUAUGGAUUAGAACUUGUAAUUCCGGGACGCUUUCCAAGUGAACAAGAAGUUUCAGGCUUUUUAUUUAAUCCCAACACUUGUUCAACGAAAUCUCCAUACGUACGCUUCUCCUUGUAACAAAGAAACGGCACAUAAUAAACUUUCCUGUGGGGUGCAUUCAAGUUACUUCAAAAUUCUCUUUGUGGUUUCUAUCUAGUUUUCAGCUACAAACGGAUCAACUCCCCUUGAACCCAGAAAUUUGGUAGCACCAUACUUCUGCAACUCUUUAAUCGAGACUCUUCGGGUAGUAGGAAUAGGGGCAUAACAGGUAUAGUUCCUACUGCUCUUUGAAGGGCAUCGACGACCACUCUGAGUAUUUCUGAAUUAUCUCAUUAUCUAGUAUCACUCCUUUUAACAUUUGAUGGUUGAUUACCUACCGGGUUUAUACUUGGAAUUGCAGACUCCGAUUUAUUCAUAUCAUAUGAUUCAUCAUCUUCAUUAUACAUUUCUCGAUCAGUAUCUUCAAUAUUUUCACCAGACAUCUUUAAUUAUAAAACAGAAACAAUAAUUCAGUAUACAUAUAUAUCAGCAUCCAAUCCCGACUUAAAUUUAACUCAAUUAUGACAUGUACCUCUAGACUCAUUUCUGUACUCAAUUUAAUCCUAGAAUCGACUAAACCUAAAUAGCUUUGAUACCAUUAAAAUGUAACACCCCCUAACCUUAAACCGUCGCCGGAACAGGGUUACGAGACAUUAUCAAACUUAUCAGACAAUUUACAAAUAAUUCUUAAAUAAAUAACAAACAUAUUAUAAUAUAAUCAUAAAUUCAUAUAAAAAUUUUGCUAAUUGACUUCAUUUUUAAAAAAAAAACUCAAUAUAACCCCUUUAUAAAUAUUUAACCUUCCCUGCAAUUUCAAAUCGCAACCAAUCAAAACAAAUCAAUUCAUGAAUUUAUACAUCUCUAAUUAUAACAAACUAAUAAUAUAAAGUUCUAACAUUUUUAUGUUUAUAAAAAUCUAACAUAAGAUGUCUAAUUGAUUCAUUUAAAUUAUCAUUCAACAAAAUUGCCUAAAGCUAUUAUAUAGACUAUGUUUAAGACAUAUGUAAUUGUAUGGAACAACCAUUACCAUCAUUUAUCAUUAAUAUUUUAUGUAUCAAAAUAACAACAAAUUACAACCUAGGUACAUGCCAUUUUCAAAAGAGAAAAUACAUCACCAUGUAUUUGAGUUCGGAAUUGACUUGGAUGCUGAGUCGUUAGUCACUUUUGUACCUAACCUACGCACGGAAACAAACCGUACGCUGAGUAUGCACUCAGCGGUAUUUUUAUAAACCAAUACUUAAAUCAAUUAUUAGCUCAUAUCCAUUUUGACUAUAAAACCUUAUUUACAUAACAAUAGUUAAUUUCUUAACUCUUCCUCGAUAAAGUAUAUGAUUCUAAUCAUAUUUAAUCAAUAACAAUCAGUUAUUCAGUAUAGUAAUUUAGUCAUUCAGUAACUAUCAAAUAUUCAUUGCAAUAGUUUAGUUAUUCAAUAUUCAGUACAGUAGUUUACCCCUAUUAACAUAACUCGGACCUAGACGAAUACACGGAUCCAACCAACACAUCAGUACGGCACUUAGUGCCUCAUCGACUUAAAGUCGAAGUAACAGUAUGACACUUAUAGUGCCUCAUCGAAUCAAGGUCGAAGUAUCCCUGAACACUUCCAAUCCUAUGGCAUGCCAAUUAUAUCCGACUCAGUCCGAUACAGUUAAUAGGGUAUUCAACUCAUUUAUCAAUUCACAGUAAGUAAUCAUUUCAAUAUCAAUUUCACAAAAAUCACAAAUUCACAUACAUUCAAUUCAAAAUCAGAACACUAAUACUUACCUUAAUAUCUUUCCAUACACAUAUAAUAAUAAAAGCAACAAUUUAAAUGUUAAAUUCGGUUUAUAAAAAUACAAACCGUAAUUCUCGAAUUACUUUUAGUCAACCUUCUCCUUUCCUUUCUUUGUCUAGGUCUCCGGAAUUACGUUAGCUACGAAAAAUAAAAUAAUUAUACCAUUAAUUACAACACUCAUUAUAAUAAAUAAUUGAAUUUUUAUUCAAUUUAUACAUUAUUUUCAAUUAGGUCUUAACUAACUCAUUCACUUUACUAACUUAAUUCGUACUUCAUUCUUAUUCAAAUUCCUAUCAAAUUCAACUUAACUAUCAAGUGUUCAUAAUAAAACCCUAAUUUAAAACUUCUUUCAAUUUGAUCCCUCAAUCACCAAAACUUAUAGCCUAGUUUACAAUUUAAUCCUUUAAUCAAAUCUAACUUAAAAUUCAUUCAAUUAAACCCCUAAUUCAUUAUUUUGUUCAACAUGAACUAUAUUCAAAAACCUAAAAACUUCCAAAUCCUUAACUUAAUUUCAACAAAACUUUGUUCUAAAGCUUCUAAAACAUCAAAUUUAAAUAAAAAGGACUUAAUUGACUUACCAAUUAAAGUUUAAAGCUUCCAAACCCAGUUUUUCCUUUUUCUUUCUUUUCUUCUUUUUUUCCCCUGGUACUUACGAAUAACCUAUUCUGUUUUGGUUUCCUUUUUUGUUUUAUUUUAUGCUUUAUUUGUUUAAUAAUAAUAUAAUAUCUUAAUAAAUAUCUAUUUAAUAAUCAAUAUAUUUAUUACAAAUGUAAUAUUACUUAUAUUUACAUAUUUACCAUAUCAUCAUCAUACAAUUGUCAUGUUUUAAUUUAUUUAUCACAUAAAAAUCUUAUAAUAUAAUUAUUUAAUUAAUAAAUAUCUUUUAUUUAAUAAUAAAUAAUAAAUAUCUAUUUACUUAAAUAUUAAGUAAUUUAAAUUCAUAAAUUGCAAUUGUAUCCUUAUUUUUAUUACAAAUGUAUAUUUUAUUGCCAUACAUUAAAUAAUAAUUUAUACUAUUAUAUUCUAAUAUUAAUUAUAAUAAUUUAAAUCAUUAAAAAUUUUUAGAUUUUUCUCAUUGUUUUACGGUCUCAACUAUUACUUAAUGGCAUAUUUUCUAUUUUGGUCCUUUAUAUUUUCUUUUAAUCUAUAAUUCAUUUUACCCCUUAUUCAAUCUAGUCAUUCUUCCUAUUUUCUCUUAAUUAAGCUAAAUUCAGCUAAUUAAAACAUAAUUAAAUACACUACUAGACUCACAAAUAUUCUUAAUAAUUAUUUUCGAACUCAAUUUACUAAAACGGAGGCCCGAUAAUGUACUUUUCUGAUGCCCGUGAACUUUGGGUCAUUACAUUGCAAACCUUAUCUCCCACAAUAAAAGGACUCAUUCAAUGGCUCAGAGAACAAAUGAACACACCAUGUCUUCUUCCUUCCCAAAGAUCCAUCCCAAAAAACCUGUCAUCCUCUGUACCUUUCCACCUUCCCGUAGGUGAACCACCACGCUAUCCACCAUCUUCUAUCUCUUAUUAAUCAAACCGGUUAACAAUUACAUGUAAUAAAAAAUUUACUAAUAAGUGUUAGGUGACGUUAUAAGACAUAUUAUACUCUUAAAGUAGACGUAGGUUUGAACAUUGAAGACAAUAUUAUAGGAAGGGGCAAUCAUGAAUCUUGAGCAUGAGCCACAAAAUAGAUCCAAUAAUUAAAAAAAAUAGCUCUUUUAAAAUUACUAUAAGAAAUAAUUAUUUAAAUUGAUUUCUUUUGGAAAAUAUAGAAAUAAAACUAAGGUUUAAUUCAUAAAUUGAUACAUAAACUAUAUUAUUUUUCUCAAGUUGGUAUUUAAACUUUUUUUUAUCAUAAGUAACACAUAAACUAUUUUUUUUUCCAAAUUGGUACCCUAUUAGUCAACCGUCAAUGAAAACUGUUGGACCUAUUAGAAAGAUAAAAGACAACCAAUUAAAAACUACCGUAUUGCAUAAAAAGAAAAAUAAAUAUUAUUUUCUCUUUAUAUUGUACUAGGCCAAUUUCGGCCCAAUCUCAUUUACAAAUUAAAACUCCAUUUACAAAACACUAAACCCCUUAAAACCCAAACCCAUUCACACUUUUACAAACCCAAAUACUAUUAACCCAAUACCCUAAACUAACCUGCCCUAAUCCAAAAACCCCUAACCCAAUAAGCCCAUUAAACAAAACAAGCCCAAACCAAUACCAAAUCCCUAGCCCAAGACCACAAUUGGGAAACCCUAGUAGCUCCCCAAGCCUCCAGCCGCCGCACGCUAGGCCAACCAUGGGCCACCUUGCGCACUACCACCACCACACCCCGCGCAUGCCCUUCUCCUCCAUGCGUCUGACACCGCCUGUAAAACGAGACACAACAACAGCAGCAACAGAGCAGUAGCGAAUGGAAGAAACAAUAUUUUUUGUACUCUGCUUUGAAACAUUCGGCUAUAAAGCCUAAAGGGAAAAUUUGUAAAGGAAGGAAGGGGGGGCAUAUUUUUACGAACGAAUACACAAUAGGCAAUACAAAAACAGCAAUAUUGGAAGGUGAUUUCUCCGAUCGAAAUCUCUGGGCUUUCUCUUUGUGAUUAUUUUCUUUUUUUUUUAUUUCGAGAGUAAAUAAAAGAAAAGGGGAACACAAACAUAGACGCACACAGAAUAUACACGCACAGAAAUAUAAAAAAAAACAAUUAAGAAUUUGCAAGGGUAAUCUCAAGUUUUCUUUCGUUCUUUCUUUUUUUUUCCUUUUUGUUUGGUUUAGAUCGUCUUUUAGUAGGUAAAUCGACUCUAAUGAGAUCCCGAAUACUUUAAGAUACAAAAGUAGGGGAAAGGGGUCAAGUGGUGUUGAAUCUCUAUUUUAUGAACUUUCUUCGUUUUUUUUUAAAAAUGUAUGAGAUUUGAAGUUUUAUUUUUUCUCAAGUAAAAAAGAAAAUACUUACUAAUUUCCUCAAGGCAUGGUUGAAUACUUACGGCCACAGAACCAGGAAUUGUUUUGCGCGCUGCUAGACACCAAAUCCGAUGGAGAUUCAGCUGUUUGUAAAAGGAACCCUAGCAAAUUUAUUUUCAAGGCUGUUGGUUUUUGUUAAAAUGGAUGGGUAUUUGAAAGGAAAGGAAGGGAAAAAUGGUUUAAAAUGGUCUGAAAUACAAAACAGUGCUGCCCAUGACCAUAAGGGUCCGCGCGUGGGCCCGAAUAGAAAAAUGGAUCUGCGCCAUGUUGUGUGAAUGGGGAAAUUGCGCGCUGAAUCCUUUCCUUGCGCACAACCUUCAAUUUGCGCCCCAAUUUCCCCCCCAACCAAUAAACGACGCCGUUUCAAGGGUGGGUCGGGUCGACCCGACCCGCCCCAGCAAAGAUCCGCGUGUUUUUAAGAGCGGAAGGGCUAUUUGCGCAAUCAGCCCUUCCGCAUUUUUGGUGUUUUAAAUUAGGUUUAUGUUUGUUUCUGAAUUGACCCCAGAAUUUUGGUCAGUUUUUAAUUUAACCCCUGUAUAUGCGCAGCGUUUUGGAAAGUUUGAAAAUUUGCACUUUUAAUACCCCAUGGUUUUACCCGCAUUCAAAUAGGUCCUUUCCCCUUUAAUUUUUUUAAAUUCACCCCAAAGCUUUGUUUUUAGUUCAUUUUUGGUCCUUUUUGUUUCCCUAUUUAAUAUGAUUAUUGUUAUUUCCAAUAUUAUAGUAUUAUUAUUAUUAUUACUAUAUAUUAGUAUACAUUUUUCUUUUACAUGUGAAUAUUGUAUAUAUUUAUAUAUAAUAUUAUUUUUAAUUAUUGUAUUUUAAUAUUAUUAUUAUAUUAUAUAUACUUCUUCGUAUUUUAUUAUUAUUAUUAUUAGUAUUAUUAUCUUUAUUCAUAUUAGCAUACAUAUGUUAUUAUAUAUAUACACAUUUCAUAUAGUAUUAUCUUUUUUUUACUAUUAUAUUUAUUAUUAUAUUCAUUGUUAAUACAUCUAUUUUUUAUACAUGUAUAUAUACCCUUUUUGUAAUAUUAUUUUUUACACCUAUAUGUAUAUAUUUUAUUUUAUUGUUGCUAGUUAUGUACUUUUUUACUAUCUUAUACGUACUUGAAACACUAUACGUAUAGUAUAUUUCUAACACUACUACUAUUUAUAUAAAUAUUUUACGUAUAUACUCUUAAUUAUCUUCAUAUGUGUAUUCAUUGUAUUCUUAUUACGUUCUCGUAUUCAAUGCUAACAUUGCAUUUGAUCUUGCAUGCACGGUUAUUAUUUUCUAAUAUUAUUAUCACCUCGAUUAUUUGUUUCAACAUAUUCCUAGCUCUUUCAUUUAUUGAUUUUUAUUUCAUAUUAUUUUACUUUGCAUUAUUUCGAAAAUCGUAUUCUUGUUUUGCUAAUUAAUUUCAAUAAUCAAGGCAAUAUAUCGAUUUAACAUUAAGUCAUCAAGUUCAUCGCUAUGUUGGGUGAACGUCAAUUGACUCGUGUUAAAGCGAUAUACCCUUCUAAAAGAAAAACAGAAUAAACUAAGUUUCUUGUUUUUUAAUGGGAUCACGACUAAAUUUUACAUUGAACCGUAUUUUUGAAAAUUAAGACAACAUGUGUUUAUGAGAUACCAAUUUUUGGGCGUCGCGAGGGUGCUAAUACCUUCCUUGCGCGUAACCGACUCCCGAACCCUAAUUUUCCUCUGGCUUUUAACGUAGACCUAAAUUCAGCCUUCCUUUUGUUUUUUUUAAAAAAGAAGUCUAACAGGUGUCCGGUCACACCUAAUAAAAAGGAUCGGUGGCGACUCCCUCUUUAUUUUAAAAUCGAAUUUCAGUUUCCAAACUUUUUCACUAGAUCGCCACAAUUAGCGACCCCGGAACCAAUUUUUAUGUCGCUACAGCUGGCGACUCCACUGGGGACUUUUGAGAGUUGAGUCUGAUGUUAAACGCGUAUUGUCAAAUUUUUAAAAUCCUUUGUUCAAAUUAAUUUUUAAUCGUGAUCCUUGAAUUUUUUUUUGAAAAGUCAUGCAUUUGCAUUUGGUUUUUUUUAAUUAAUAGUUUUCUAACUUGUUUUGUCUUUCUGUUUUUUUAGCUUUAAGUUUUACAUUUUUUUAGUUGUUUUAGUAAAAAUAAAAUUUAAAAAGGUUUGUGAGUUUCUCCCCACACACCGUGCACUUGCAUUCUUGCAUAACAUGAGCUCUCUACCCGGGCUCCAUCCGUUUAAGUGGAAGUAAACGCUACGCCUUCGUGAGUUAACUCGUCCCUCCGCAUAGGCUAGUGAAAUACUUUCGGGUUACAUAUGACUUAUGUUUUCGUGAGUUAACUCGUCCUUCCGCAUAGGCAUAAGUAAAUGUAAUCCCUCGAAUUGAUCUCGUAAGCCUAUGAUGGGCCAUGACCGAGGUUCUGUACUAAUCUUGGUAGAUGACAGUGCAGACGAUUCGAGUACCCAUCUAGAACCAAAACCGCAUAUAGUGAAUCAUACGAGCCAUCCAAUUAGAGCCAUGCCGAACCUCUGUCCGCUUAUAGUCAUCAAAAUAAGUACACGGGGAAAAUACCUUUUGCCAUCCAGUUACACUGUUUGUGCAAAAUAAUUGGAUUGGGUAGUUUAAUUUGUUUUUCAAAUUAUAUUUGUUGUGUUUACUAACCAAGUUUGUUUGUUUUCACUUUUAUUUUCAUCAUGCAUCAUAGGCAUCAUAUUAAGAAGGUGUUGACUAAAGGUUGGUUGCCAAAAAACGGGUUUCUGAUGGAGGAGUCAAUUACACAAAUAACCGAGAAGAGUGCCGUGGUUCGGGACUGGUCUCUAAAAAUUCAGAAAGAAAAGGGGGAUAGUCUAGUGGAAGGGUGUGUCGCCAAUUUACCCGAACAUAUAACUGUAAAUGUUCGCCAAAAUAACCUUGAGGAUUUGGUACGAAUUUGGAAUCAGUGGGAUUCAGACACUAGAGACAUUUUCACUGAGAGGUAUGGAGAUAUAGCUCACCUGAUCACCAUCCGUGUAGACGAACAGUUGAUUCAAGCCAUGGUUCGGUUCUGGGACCUAGCUUAUCAGUGUUUCACCUUCAAUCAAGAAGACAUGACUCCAACCAUAGAAGAGUAUGCUGCUUUACUCCGCAUCGACAAUGUACAAUUUGGCAAAAUAUAUGUGAAAGAACCUAAGCCGAUGACCUUCAAGAAAAAGUUAGUGAGACUAACAGACAUGACUGAUGCAUGGGCCGAAAAAAAGAUAAAGAAGAAGAAUGAAACCAUUUGCAUUCCAUGGUCCUCCCUACGAGAUUUGGCUCUGAACCAUCCCAACAUGCUGAAAAGGGUAAAUCUAUUCGCUUUGGCCAUUUACGGUUUGGUCAUUUUCCCAAAAGUUCUCGGACAUCUCGAAGUUGCAGUAGUUGAUUUCUUCGAAAGGUUAAAACAAGGAAUCAACCCUGUCCCGACCAUCCUAGCCGAGACCUUCAGGUCCCUGAGUAGUUGUCAAAGAAAAGGGGAGGGACGAUUUAUCGGAUGCGCGCAGUUGCUCAAUGUUUGGAUUUUGAGUCACUUCUGGAAGGUAGAGCGCACUCCGUUCCAAAUGUUUUCUAAAACAUUCUCCCCGCUAGAAGCUUACCUCAAGAAAGAAUGGCCGAAGGAAGUCACCAAGCAACAUUGGGUAUCAGUUUUUUAGAAUCUUCGCGCCGAGAAUAUAACAUGGAGAGCACCCUAGAUCCGUCCUUCAGUUCUGCUAUACAAAUGUGGAAGCCAAGAUUGGGUACCUUUACUCGGGUUAUGGGGAGGAGUUGGAUAUACCCCGCUAUUAGUCCAAAGGCAGUUUUCUUCGCGACAAUUCCUCCCUGCAACUGGAGGAUUAGCACAGUUCGAGUUCACUUUCGCGGGUGAAGGAUAUAUGAAGAGAGUCCGAGUCACUGCAAAGUAUUGGAAGGAAAUUCAUUUCAUGGAAUUAGCUUUGUAUGCUGAUACCCUUACCCAAGAUUACGACAUAUGGAGGAAGCAACGGGUAAAUAGUCAGCAAAUCUCAUCAACAAACUACACCAUCCAGAAUCAUUUCUCGGAGGAAACGCCGUCUGAGCUAGAAAUGGCAAGACAAGAAUUCGAACGAGAAAAGGCCAAGAUGUCUCGGGACCUUAGUGCCCUUCAAGAAGAAAACUAUCAACUGAAGAUUGAAGUUCAGGUUGAAAGGUCCAGGACUGAAAAAGUACAAAGAGAAGCCGAGAUUGUGAGAAACGACUUAAGGGACCUUCAUUUGGAAAAUAAGAAAUUAAGAAACACUAUAAAGAAUAGCGGGUUGGGCAAGUCGACAGCAGAAUGGAAGGAAGAAAUUAGCAAUAUCAAGGGAGGAAUGGAGUUUUGGAAGGGAAAAGCAAAGAAAGAGGAGGAAAAGGCUGCGCGCGCUGUGAUAGAGUUAAGAAGGAAGAACGCCGAGUAUGAAAUAGUGGCUGCAAAAUUGGCGAAUAGUCAGUCUGAACAUCAAGAAUUAAAAAGGAAAACACGAGAUCUAAAAAAUAUGCUGCAAUCUCGUCAACAACAAUUAGAUAACCUCUUGAAGGCUCUAGAAGAAAAGAGUGAGCAGUACGAUAAGGACAUUCACGCGUAUGAAGGAACCCUCAAAGAAAAAGAAAUGCAACUUGACUUCUUGAUCAAUGAAAUUCGUAAAGCGGCUAUGCAAGUUGUUCAAUUAUCAGAUGAAGCCGAAGUUCUCAGUUGCCAAUUCCCCCCGAGCCAAAGAUCGAGCAUAACAGAGUUUUUAGAGCAAGUGAAGAAACAAGGCAAUGUGGCUAGGAAAUUUGUGUAACUGUUGGAAAAAUGAGAACUUUGUGUAAUAGACUAUGUUGAUAAAUGAAAUGCCUAAAUAUGGGGCUAUCUUGAAAUCAACUCCAAUUUCUUGCAUUUCAUUCAUAACUGACACUCAUUUGACAUUCAUGCAUUCAUUCAUGCACCAGUUCAUUCAUUGCAUAUCCCAUACUCAUUCGCUGAGGUUAAAACGUACAAUUCGCAGUUGCCAGACAUCAAGACUGGAACCACGUCAUCCGUAUAAAAUGCGCCGACAAGCUAGAGUAAUGGAAGCUGAAUUCAAUGAGAGAAUUGAAAGGAUGGAAAAAGCUCAAACGGAAUUACAAGAGCAACUGGCCAAAUCGCAACAAGAGACGAGAGACCUAAUGGUGAUAUCUCGAGAGGAAUCACUCGAGCAAAGAGAUCAGAUGGCUAAAAUGAUGGAGAUGAUGACAACUUUGGUCAACGGAAAAUGGCCCAUGCAGAACCCUGAUGUUAUGGAACCUCAGUCAAGAAUUCACCAUGUUCAGGAUCCACUCUAUCCCUCGGGAUUCACUCCACCGCCCGCAUGUACAAUACAAAGAGGGUAUACUCAAGAGGAACCCACUGGCUUGGAGCAUCGACCCAUGCCACCUGCUCCACCCACUAAUUUGGGGCAAGGAAUGUUAGCGUCGAACCCAGGGGCUAGUUCUGCUAAUCCACUAGUUCCAGAUCUAGAUGACCCAGCAGAGGUAGCCAAGUUGAAAUUGGAUAACCAUGACGCAAAAUAUAGGAGUCUAGAGGAAAGACUCAAAGUAAUAGAAGGCACUGAAGUCUUCUCCGCACUAGGUGCCAAGGAACUCAGUUUGGUACCUGAUCUAAUUUUGCCCCCGAAGUUCAAAGUGCCUGAUUUUGAGAAGUAUGAUGGAACAAGGUGCCCAAAAGCACAUCUCAUUAUGUUCUGUCGAAAAAUGACCGGUUAUGUGAACGAGGAUAAACUACUCAUACAUUGCUUUCAAGAUAGUCUAACAGGGUCAGCUCUUCGGUGGUAUAAUCAACUUAGUAGAGAAAAGAUUCGAUCCUGGAAGGACUUGGCGUUAGCAUUUUGCGAACAGUACAAGCAUGUAUCGGAUAUGGUGCCAGACCGUAUGACCUUGCAAAUGAUGGAGAAAAAGCCAUCAGAGACCUUUAGACAGUAUGCGCAGAGAUGGAGAGACGUCUCAACUCAAGUGGAACCCCUACUAACAAAAACGGAGAUAACCGUUCUUUUUAUCAAUACUUUAAAGGCACCGUUUUAUGACAAACUAGUGGGAAGUGCCACGAAAGAUUUCGCGGAUAUUGUAAUAUCCGGUGAACUCAUAGAGAAUGCCGUCAAGAGCGGUAGAAUGGAAGGAUCAGAAGGCUCAAGAAAAGCAGCACCCUUAAGGAAGAAAGAGCCAGAAGCCCACAUGGUGGGAACUGGGAGUCGUUACAUUCCCAAUUCGUAUCCUAGCCAACCCCGACCUCGAAAUUAUCCAUCCCCGAAUUCCUAUUAUCCCCCUCAAACCCCUUACUACCAAGCACCACAUCCGUCCUGCCCCGUAUACGCCACGAAUAACCAAAGACCCGUCACUACUUUCCCACAAAACACGGUACCCGCCCAAAGCUAAUCAAGGCAUAAUCCCGAGAGACCGCAAUUUACCUCCAUCCCUGUGUCGUAUGGGGAAUUGUACCCAAAAAUUUUAGAAAAACAGCUAAUUUCUCCCCAUUACAUGGCACCCCUUAAACCUCCAUACCCAAAGUGGUACGAUCCAAACGCUAGUUGUGCAUACCACGCAGGGAACCAAGGGCACUCUACUGAGAACUGUCUCGCUUUCAAAAGGAGAGUUCAAGGACUCAUUGACGCGAGUAUCCUACGAUUCGAUAGUGCUAGUAACGCCACGGGGAACCCGUUCCCUAACCAUACCGAAGGGAAUGUGAGCACAGUGGGGAAAGAGGAUGAAUGGAAGGUCAGAAGAUGUGUGGCAGAAAUAAGGACGCCUCUGCAGAAAAUCUGGGAGAUAUUGGUUAAGAAAGGAUUGCUCUGUCACUCUGAUAGAGUUUUUGGAGAAGAAGGUCAAAGUUUUUGCAAUUUUCAUGGGAUUGUUGGGCACAACAUUCAGUCAUGCGAGGACUUUAAAAAGUUACUUCAAGACCGGAUGGAUAAUAAGGAGAUCAAGGUCCUUAACAAGAGUGAAGAUGCCAACGAAAGAGAAGUAUGCGUCUCUGAUAGCCAAUCAUCAGGGCCCCCUUAUAGUGCUGAUCGACCGUUGGUAAUUUAUUACGACGCGAUGAGAGAGCCAUUGAAACCACAGAUGGUAAUUGAAGUACCAUCUCCUUUCCCGUAUAAGGACAACAAAAUAGUACCGUGGAAAUAUGAUGUUAAUAUCGUUACACCGGAAGUUGAAAAGUCCAAAGCCAUAACUGAAGAUGUUGGGGAGGUAGGUCAUUUUACUUGAAGUGGACGAUGCUAUUCUAAAGAAGUUGAAUCGGUAAAGAAAAGUAGCGACUCGAAGCAAAAAGGGAAAGCAGUGAUGUACGAGGUCGAAGUCGAGCAAGAAAUUCCACCCGUGCAAGAAACUAAAAAGCCUGUGAAUGAGGAAGAAGCUCAAGAAUUCUUGAAAUUUAUUAAGCACAGCGAAUAUAGUGUGGUGGAACAAUUGAGCAAGCAGCCAGCACGAAUCUCAGUUCUAUCUCUACUAUUAAAUUUAGAGCCACACCGGAAUGCUAUAUUGAAGGUGUUAAAUCAAGCUUACGUGGCCAACAACACAUCUGUCGAAAAGCUUGAUAGGUGGGUAAACAAUCUGAAUGCGGACAACUUCAUCUCUUUUAGUGAUGAUGAGAUACCGCCAAAUGGUAGAGGCUCGGUGAAAGCGCUGCAUAUCACGACCCGCUGCAAGGGCUACAUAAUACCGAACGUACUCAUCGAUAAUGGGUCAGCGAUAAAUGUUAUGCCAUUGGCUACACUUUCCAGAAUACCGAUGGAUUUGUCCUACUUAAAGCCGUGUCAUUCCAUGGUAAGGGCAUUCGACGGGACGAAGUGCGAAGUCAUGGGAAAGAUCGAAAUCCCUUUGGAAGUGGGCCCCUACAUCUAUGAGGUCGAAUUCCAAGUCAUGGACAUUACACCCUCUUAUAACUGCCUUUUGGGAAGACCUUGGAUUCAUUCUGCUGGAGCAGUCCCAUCAUCCCUCCAUCAAAAGGUGAAAUUCAUCAUGGAUGGCUGUUUGGUCACAGUCGAGGGCGAAGAAGACAUCGUCGCAUCUAUCUCUGCUGAUGCGCCAUACCUGGAAGUAAGCAAGAACGCAGUGGAAUGUUCCUUUCGAUCCCUUGAAUUCAUCAAUGCCACUUUCGUCGCUGAGGGAAAUAGAAUUCCGAUGCCAAAACUGUCGAGAAAUACCAGAAUGGGUGUCAAGUUGACCGUAGGAAGGGGAGCUCGUGCGAGAAGAGGUUUAGGGAGACAUCUAUAAGGAAUAGUGAGGGCUUUAAAGCCAGUGCACCACAAGGCCCGAUACGGUUUGGGGUUCCAGCCUGACAUGCACCAAAGAAGAAGACAGUGGAAGAAGGAUCAAGAGAGAAGAAUUGCAAGAACUUUAGGCCGAGAACCAGAAUGGGAACCAAUAGAGUACCCUCCUUUGUCAAAAACAUUUAUAUCUGCGGGAAUGAUGUACCCUGGACAAGAUGAUCCACGAAACAUGCUGGGAUUAAUUGAAAGGGAUUUUCAGAAUGUCAGUAUAAAUGUCAUUGACAAAGAAGCUGGUGCAAGUAAAGAUGUCUCGAGGAUACGCCCUUGCCCUCCUGGUUUCAUGUUGAACAAUUGGAUUGCUGAGGAGCUUCUUGUAGUUUAUAAGCCUUCAGAGUAAUGCUAAACAUCAACCUUCUAUUGUGUCCUUAGAUAUAAUAGAAUUCUUUUGUAAGAGUUUGCAUUUGCUCUUUAUCAUUUAAAUGAAUAUCAAUGAAGAUGCAUUUUGUCACGAUUUUUCGCAUUAUCACUAAUUUCAUAAUCAUUUUCUCAUUUCAUAGCCUAUCCUUACAUUUGCCUCCUUGCCAUGACAUAACAUUUGUUUAUUGUUUCCAACACUUGGAUGUCCCCCUAUAGCUUCCUUUUCCAUUCAACUUUCAGGUGCUCAGAUAUUGACGACAUGAAUAAGCCCGUUACGAAUCUUGAAAUUGAUUUUGAGAAGGCUGUUUGCUUAGGAGAAUUUGAAGCCGAAGAAAAUGGUGAAGAUUAUGUCUCGUCUCCUGAAUUGUUAAGAAUGGUGGAACAAGAGGAUAAACAGGUUUUGCCUCAUGAAGAAUCUGUGGAAACAACAAAUUUGGGCACUGAAGAGAGGAAACAAGAAGUGAAGAUUGGGACUUCUAUUUCAGAAAGUACCAGGCAUAGUUUGAUCACUUUACUCCGUGAAUACAAAGAUGGUUUCGCGUGGUCAUACCAGGACAUGCCAGGCUAGAUGAAGAUUUAGUGGUCCAUAAGCUCCCAUUGAAGCCAGAAUGCAAGCCCAUCCAGCAAAAAUUAAGACGGAUGAGACCCGAAAUGCUGUUGAAAAUAAAAGAGGAAGUCAAGAAGCAAUUUGACGCUGGCUUCCUACAAGCCUCCAAAUAUCCAGAAUGGGUGGCUAACAUAGUCCCGGUACCAAAGAAAGAUGGAAAAGUACGAAUGUGCGUGGAUUACCGUGACCUGAAUCGAGCAAGCCCAAAAGAUAAUUUUCCCUUGCCACAUAUUGACACGUUGGUGGACAACACAGCAAAACAUUCAUUGUUUUCUUUCAUGGAUGGAUUCUCGGGGUAUAAUCAGAUCAAGAUGGCCCUUGAGGAUAUGGAGAAAACUACCUUCAUAACAAUGUGGGGAACGUUCUGCUACAAGGUGAUGCCAUUCGGGUUAAAGAAUGCUGGGGCAACAUAUCAGAGGGCUAUGGUGACAUUAUUCCAUGACAUGAUGCAUAAGGAAAUAGAGGUCUACGUCGAUGAUAUGAUUGCUAAAUCUCAAGGAGAAGAAGAACAUGUAAUGAACCUCAAGAAGUUGUUCGAAAGGAUGAGAAAGUUUCAGCUAAAGCUUAAUCCAGCCAAAUGUACAUUCGGGGCUACCUCGGGAAAAUUGCUAGGCUUCAUUGUCAGUGAAAGAGGUAUCGAAGUUGAUCCAAAUAAAAUAAAAGCCAUCCAAGAAUUACCACCUCCGCGCACGCAAAAGGAAGUUAGAGGAUUUUUAGGGAGAUUAAAUUACAUCGCCCGAUUUAUCGCUCAACUUACCAACUAAUGCGACCCAAUUUUUCGACUCCUUCGAAAACAUAACGCGGGAGAAUGGAACGAGGAGUGCCAAGUGGCCUUCGAUAAGAUAAAACGGUAUCUGUCUAAUUCUCCUGUGCUAGUAACACCGACCCCUGGAAAACCCCUAAUUUUGUACCUGACCGUGUUUGAAAACUCAAUGGGUUGCGUACUGGGGCAACAUGAUGAGUCAGGGAGAAAAGAAAAGGCGAUCUACUACCUCAGCAAAAAGUUCACUGAAUAUGAGGCAAAAUAUUCGUCCAUUGAGAAAUAUUGUUGCGCUCUGGUUUGGGUAGCUCAGAGACUCAGACAAUAUAUGUUGUAUCACACGACAUGGCUAAUUUCAAAGCUGGACCCAAUAAAAUACAUGAUGGAAUCACCGGCACUAUCAGGAAGAAUGGCACGAUGGCAGAUCCUCCUUUCAGAAUAUGACAUUGCCUAUGUAAGUCAGAAGUCAAUAAAAGGGAGCGCAAUAGCUGACUUUUUAGCAACUCGAACGACAGAGGAAUAUGAGCCUUUAAGAUUCGAUUUCCCAGACGAAGACUUAAUGUGCAUCACAGAAAUAGAAUCCGAGUCAUCAAAAGAGAAGUCAUGGAAGAUGUGCUUUGAUGGUGCGUCAAAUGCUUUAGGGCAUGGAAUUGGAGCAAUCCUGGUAUCACCAGACGGGAAUCAUUAUCCGUUCACUGCAAGACUGAACUUCUUCUGUACCAAUAAUAUCACAGAAUAUGAGGCCUGUAUCAUGGGACUUCGUGCAGCUAUCGAACGAAACAUCGAGAUCUUGGAGGUGUACGGGGACUCAGCCCUAGUGAUUUACCAAAUCCGUGGAGAAUGGGAAGUGAGGGACUCAAAAUUGAUUAAGUACAGCGUUUUAGUGGCUGGAUUGAUCAAGGAAUUCAAAGAAAUAACUUUUCAUUACUUCCCACGAGAAGAGAACCAACUGGCUGAUGCCCUAGCCACUUUGGCUUCAAUGUUCAAAGCAAGUAGAGAAGCAGAAAUAAUGCCCCUCAAAAUGAGCAUAUACGAGGUCCCUGCACACUGUUGUAGCAUUGAGAAAGAAGUAGACGGACGGCCUUGGUUCCAUGAUAUCUUAGAAUAUAUCAAGAAUCAAAGGUAUCCCAAACAAGCGAAUGAGAACGAUAAAAGAACAAUUAUAAGAAUGGCAGCGGGAUUUGUUCUUGAUGGGGAUAUCCUGUAUAAAAGAGGAAAGGAUCAGAUGCUUUUGAGAUGUGUGGAUGAUGUUGAAACCAGAAAAAUACUUGAAGAGGUCCAUGAGGGAAUUUGCGGAACGCAUGCCAAUGGUUUCAAUAUGGCCAGAAAGAUCAUGAGACUCGGUUAUUAUUGGCUGACAAUGGAAAGUGACUGCAUCAAUUUUGCCAGAAAAUGCCACAAAUGUCAAAUCUACGGCGAUAAAAUUCAUGUAGCCCCUUCACCCCUUCAUGUCAUGACUUCUCCGUGGCCUUUUUCUAUGUGGGGCAUGGAUGUCAUAGGGCCAAUUUCUCCAAAAGCUUCAAAUGGACAUCGAUUCAUUUUUGUGGUUAUUGAUUACUUCACAAAAUGGAUUGAAGCCGCUUCGUUUGCCAAUGUGACGAAGACUGCAGUGUGCAAGUUUUUGAAAAAAGAAAUCAUUUGCCGAUAUGGUUUCCCUGAAAGAAUCAUCUCAGAUAAUGCCAUGAAUCUGAAUAAUAAGAUGAUGAAAGAAGUGUGCGAGUAGUUCCAAAUAAAGCAUCAUAAUUCCUCGCCCUAUCGCCCAAAGAUGAACGGGGCUGUUGAAGCAGCUAACAAGAACAUUAAGAGGAUCAUUGAGAAAAUGACUGAGACAUAUAAAGAUUUGCACGAGAAACUUCCAUUUGCUUUGUUUGCAUAUCGUACAUCUGUGCGAACAUCUACGGGAGCAACUCAUUUCUCUCUAGUCUAUGGAAUGGAAGCUGUGCUACCUAUCGAGGUUGAGAUCCCCUCUCUGCGAGUAUUGAUGGAAUCAAAGUUAGAAGAACCAGAAUGGGUUCGAGCUCGAUAUGAUCAGUUGAACCUCAUUGAAGAAAAACGUCUAAGGGUAAUUUGUCAUGGGCAAAUGUACCAAAAGAGAAUGAUCGCAGCCCAUGACAAGAAGGUACGACCAAGAGAGUUCCAUGAAGGAGAACUCGUUCUGAGAAAGAUUCUCCCAAUACAAAAAGACCUGCGAGGAAAAUGGGCACCAAAUUGGGAAGGACCAUACGUUGUAAAAAAGGCAUUCUCGGGAGGAGCUUUAAUCCUUACCGAGAUGGACGGGAAGGAGUUACCGAAUCCGGUGAAUUCAGAUGCGGUGAAGAAAUAUUAUGCUUAAGAUGAAAACCCGAAAAUGGCAUCUAAAAAAAAAGGGCGAAAACCCGAAAAGGGCGUCUUGAUUAGUACAAAAAGAUUAGGAUGAAAACCCGAGAGGGCGUCCUAAUGAAACAAACCUGGCGGUCGAUCGAUAGGUCGAGUAGUGAGACUACAGUAUUUGAAGCACUUCUGAAAGCUCGAAAUUUUCUACGCAAGAAGCCAUGCUCGAAAAGAUUAUUGAUUGAGGAACGUGGAAGAGUUCAUGUGUUGAAUAUCUAGAGCAUUUGUAUCCGUUGAAUACGACCUUUUCUUUCUUUUUGACAUUUUUACUCUCAUUGGUUAACUUUCUUUGUUUGCCGCAUUUGAAAUAAAGGAAUAUGAGAUAUCCUUUUUGUCCCUACCUGACCAUUUUCAUGCAUCUCAUUAUGUGUUUAUUUAAUGAUAAAUAGUGAAAUGACAUACUCUAAACAAAAGAAAUAUCAAGCAUUACCCGGAUAAGAAUUUGAUAAGUGCAAGAUCUUCAAAGCAAGAACAAAGUUUAACCAAGGGCAAAAGGGUGAUAUCUGAGAAACGUCGAUUACUCGUAAAGCUCGAAGACAGGUAUGAGGCCUGAAGAGAAGGUCGAGAAUCAAAGCAAUGAACACAGAUCCUCAACAAUCAUGGCGAAAAGGACAUACGGCCUAUAUGCUUAAGGAGCACUGCAUAAUCAUGUAGGCAUAAAGGCAUUUAAGACAAACAUGUGCAUAUCAUGAUGACAUCAUGCAUGGCAUAUACAGGUAAUCCAGAAAAGCAAGAAAUCUUGAAUGAGAGUCGCACUGAAUCAAAGGAAAAGAUACCCGAGUUCUACCAAAGGACUGGUUUUGGUAUUUUGAUGUUUUUAAUUCAUGCUUUCCAAGGAAAAUUGACUCAUAUUGCGAGAGGUGAGUCAAGCCUCAGGUCACGCUGAGGUAUUUUAAUUCCUUUUGUUUCAAAAAUCAACUCAUAUUGCUAGAGGUGAGUUGAGCCUCGGGGCACGCCGAGGUACUUUUAGUUUAUGUUUUAAAUUGACUCAUAUUGCGAGAAGUGAGUUAAGCCUUUUAAUUCCUGUUUUUCAAAAAAUCAACUCAUAUUGCGAGAGGUGAGUUGAACCUUUUAAUUUUUGUUUUUCAAAAAUCAACUCAUAAUACAGAGGUGAGUUGAGCCUCGGGCCACAUGCCGAGGUAUUUUCAAAAUCUGUUUGGCAAAUUCUGUGUUCAAAAAUCAACUCAUAUUGCGAGAGGUGGGUUGAACCUUUUAAUUUCUACUUUUUCGAAAUCAACUUAUAUUGCGAGAGGUGAGUUGAGCCUCAGAACACGCUGAGGUAAUUUCAAUUUCUGUUGUCAAAAAAAAAAUCAACUCAUAUUGCGAAAAGUGAGUUGAGCCUUUGUCACAUGUGGAGAUAUUUUCAGUUUUUGUUUUUAAUGUCUGUUUUUAAAGAGUCAAUUCAUAUUGCGAGAAAUGAGUCGAACUCAGGAUCACAUGCCGAGUAAGAAUAAAGAUUGAAGCUGAUGAAAAACACCAGACUUGGUCUCCCUGAAGCUGCAGUGGAGCCGGUCAAAAGUUGCAAGUCUUGUCUCCCUGAGGUCGCAGUGGAACUGAUCGAGGAUAUCAAAUCUUGUCUCGCUAGAGUUACAGAAGAGAAGAUCACGAAUCUCAUCUCACUGAAGUGAUAAAAGAACAGAUUGAAGCUUAGAUCUUAUCUUUAUGAAGCUACGUGGAAGCAGAUCAAAGCCACAAAUCACAUAUCUUUGAAGUCACAUUGGAGUAGAUUUAAACUACAAGGCAUAUAUCAGAAGAUGCAGUGGAUUGGAAGAAGACCAUCUGAACAAGAAGAGCACCAAUGAAGUCAAGACUCGGCAGGAAAGGGCAAAAUUGGCCUUUCACUUAGUCUUUGCUCUAUUCCCGUUACACGACAAUGAGCAAAGAGGGGCAGCUGUACUAGGCCAAUUUCGGCCCAAUCUCAUUUACAAAUUAAAACUCAAUUUACAAAACACUAAACCCCUUAAAACCCAAACCCAUUCACACUUUUACAAACCCAAAUACUAUUAACCCAAUACCCUAAACUAACCUGCCCUAAUCCAAAAACCCCUAACCCAAUAAGCCCAUUAAACAAAAUAAGCCCAAACUAAUACCAAAUCCCUAGCCCAAGACCAGAAUCGGGAAACCCUAGCAGCUCCCCAAGCCUCCAGCCGCCGCAUGCUAGGCCAACCAUGGGCCACCUUGCGCACUACCACCACCACACCCCGCGCAUGCCCUUCUCCUCCAUGCGUCUGACACCGCCUGCAAAACGAGACACAACAACAGCAGCAACAGAACAGUAGCGAAUGGAAGAAACAAUAUUUUUUGUACUCUGCUUUGAAACAUUCGGCUAUAAAGCCUAAAGGGAAAAUUUGUAAAGGAAGGAAGGGGGGCAUAUUUUUACGAACGAAUACACAAUAGGCAAUACAAAAAAAGCAAUAUUGGAAGGUGAUUUCUCCGAUCGAAAUCUCUGGGCUUUCUCUUUGUGAUUAUUUUCUUUUUUUAUUUCGAGAGUAAAUAAAAGAAAAGGGGAACACGAACACAGACGCACAUAGAAUAUACACGCACAGAAAUAUAAAAAAAAACAAUUAAGACUUUGCAAGGGUAAUCUCAAGUUUUCUUUCGUUCUUUCUUUUUUUUUCUUUUUUGUUUGGUUUAGAUCGUCUUUUAGUAGGUAAAUCGACUCCAAUGAGAUCCUGAAUACUUUAAGAUACAAAAGUAGGGGAGAGGGGUCAAGUGGUGUUGAAUCUCUAUUUUAUGAACUUUCUUCGUUUUUUUAAAAAUGUAUGAGAUUUGAAGUUUUAUUUUUUCUCAAGUAAAAAAGAAAAUACUUACUAAUUUCCUCAAGGCAUGGUCGAAUACUUAC